CGCGGCCACACGGUUCGAGCUGCGUCUCUCUUUUAUCUCCUCGCCCGUCCUUUGUAAUGGAAAAAGAAGUGCUUCGAAUCAUUGCUAUUUGACUCGGACCUGUUCUGAAAAAGUCGAGGUAUUUCGAAUUGUUUGUUGACACGGACAAAGUAAGGGAAAACCUCUGAAAGAAUUUCCAUAUUGACCUUGGACAUAUAAGAGUUCCGAAUCGAAUCUCUUUAGAAAGAGGAUCGGUGCAGCGCCAUACCAGCCAUCCCCAUAUCUCCUCCUACACUUGUGAUGAGGUAAGCUUAGGCCCCUGUUAAAUAUUGAAGAGGUGUAUGUCCCAGCCAUCGGCAAUCCUUCUGCAUACAAGGUAUUUGAAAAAAUGUCUAUGUCAAGUUGAUCAUGCUAAAACACUCCGCCUUUUGGCCGAAAUUCAUGAUGCAAUCAUUGGUAUUAUAGUGCAGACUUUGUAUUCAUAUGUAAUUUUUGUGAGUUAUCCCAAAUUUAAUUUUUCAGUCCCAUUGUUUUAUUUAAGUACGUCUGUUUAUGUUUGACUGAAUUUUGUUCCUGCGAAUGCCUGGUUGACUGAUAUAUACCUGCACUUGCCUAUGCACACAAACUAAAGUUAUUGCUUUGCUGUCAAAAUCAUUUUAUAACCAUUUAUUCUUACUGCAGACUUGGGUUUCUCAUUCAUGGAGAUGAAUCCAUUGAUCCUGAUAAAUUGGGAACCAUACCCUGUGGACAUAGGUGAACUGGAUGACACAACUAUUUUCAAGAACUUGAAGAAGUGGAGUAACCUUGAGUUCCCGCUGCCUUUCGGAAGAGUCAUGAGCCUCUUUCAAAAAGGUUAUAUCCAUGAACUGGAUGAGGAGGUAUACACAUGUUUUGUUCUUUUCGUUUUUUCUUCUAAAGUCAGCUUCCCAUGAAUAUUAUUAGAGUACACAUUUUGUCUUAAGUUCAUUUAUACAGACGUAAUAUGCCAUUGCUUCAGUUAGUACUGAAGGUAGAUACAUCUAAUAUAACAUUUUUCAUUAUUUUAGACAGGUGCAUCACUAAAAUUUAACGCUCUGAACUUGAAAGGUCGCAUUUGGACACUGAUUGCAGGUGGUGGUGCGAGUGUCCUAUCUGCUGACACAGUAAACUUAACUUUCUUCCAAGUCUUUUAGAUAAGUUGUAAAAGUUAAUUAAGAUGAUAACAGAUCAAUGUUAUUUCCUUGUUCGAGAUUCGGGAUAUGCCGCAGAGCUAAGAAAUUAUGAAGGGUACAGUGGAGCUCCCAAAGAGGAGGAGGUUUUGCAAUAUGCUAGAUUGGUUUUGGAUUGCCAGGAAUCCAAAUCAAAGGCUACAGUGGUGAACAUUUAUGUUUGGAGAGGUGGUCCAAACUGGGGUUGCCAUAAUGUGUGAUCUAGGUUCAGAGCUUGGUCUUCCAAUUGAGCUAUGGUCUCAAGUUCUCUUUGGUGAAGACAAAUCAACCAUAUGUAUCUUUAGUGAUUAACGAAUGAUCUUAGCUUCUCUAACACCAACCUCAUACCUUGUGUUUCAUACUUGAUUUUGAAGUCUCUUGGCUAUGAAUUUAGUGUAUUACAAUAGAUUGUUUGGCUAUUGCCAUCCCUAUAACAAAUGCGGUGCAGGAUUACAUGUUAUCAAGUAAUGCAUUUGGUUUUCUGAACAUAUAAGAGUGUCUCAAUUACUUACUUUCUUUACCACACAUUCAGGUAAAGCUUAGAAUGUCAAAAAUUUCAAAGCCUCCGGUCAACUUACGUAUGCUAAAUGUGCACAUGAACUUUAAAAGUUGGAUAACUCUAUCAUCAUCAACAACAUUAUACAUGACACAAACUUCAAUACUUAUGUUAUCUGAUAUUUUAGUAGAUCUCUCCAUUGAAUUGUAGUGCCCUUUUCCAAUUUAUGUUAUCCAAGAUGAAUAAUGAAUACAAACUUCAAUACUGCAGCAAUCAUCUAUUCAUGACAUACAUUCCUCAGAAACAAGUUGAAGAUAAGUGAGCUUCUCUGGAACUGGAGAGUGUUUGAGAAUGCAAUUUUCUUUUAUAAUUUAUGUUAUCCUCGUGAUAGUUAUAUAUGGUGACAUGAUUAUGAACCUUCUAAUCAGAAUAUAUAACAUUUAUGUUUUGCAAACCUGCGAGUUAGUGCCCAUCAUGGUCAUAGGUUCCUCUGUAGUUUCUUCCAAGCAUAAUACUUGUGAUAAGACAUCAAAGGUUCAUAUAAUACUAUCCAAGUAUAAGUUGGAGUGGUCCAUUGCAGAUUAACUUACUUUCCCACUAUUCCUAAUUUCAGCGGCGUGCAGACAUGCAGUCUACGCCAACACUUGUCUCUUACCGGUGAGCCGAGCCACGGACAGAUUGGGGGUAGGCGGCGGUGGUGGUCGGAGGAGAAGUGAGACGGACGGCGCUGGAUCGGGGAGGCUGUGGAGGAGCUCAGCAGAAACGACAAGCAGGCGGAAGGAGAGCGGCAGCAGUGGAGGUGCGUGAAGAAGACUAGAAGAAUGGGGAACCACCUCCGGAUUCAGCGCAAGUUGUCACUCUGAAUCUGCUCCCUCUCUCGGUUGGGAAGACUCCAGAAGGAUUCAUCCGUGCUGUGAUGGGUUGAGGAAGGUGGAGAGGACCAGCGAUUACAGGUACAUAAGCUGCAUGAUGAAAUGUUGCACCUACAAUAUCCGAGUAAUUGGCAAUUUUUACAUUUUGCUUAGUUGGUUGGGUUCAAACUUCAAACAUAGCAGUGCCAAUGUCGGCGCCUUGGCAAGUGAGUCUCGACGUGAGUGCUGGUGUCACGAGCACGUCAGCAGUAGCUGUUAUAUGUGCGGCAAUGGAGGCCUCGAGACGCAGGUACAAAUGUGUUGGUUCAAGAGCUGUCCACUUCAUAGGAGUUGGCUUGGAUCCAUCCAUGAGAUUUGAUUUCCUUGGAAAAUUAUGAAGCGUUCCUGUCGGAAGUUCAUCCAUGGCUCCUAGACAGAUGUAGGCCUUGCUUGGAGCAACUUUGCAUGCACAAAAGCGUGGAACUCGCUCUUGGGCACCGUAAUGAUAUGAAGGAGAGCCUUUUUAUUUCCAGCCUGAUCGGCUACAUAAAUUCUGGUCCUACUCUGCCUCUCAAAUCUUUGUUGAAAAGGGGACCAUGUUGUGUUUUCUUGCUUAUGGCCUCUUCUCGACAUAUAAUCCUUGGUCUAUAUCACUAAUGUUUAGUACAUCUAUAACUUGGGUAGUUCCCGUACUCCUUAAUUUCAUAAUAUCAUGAAAGGGGUGUCUUUGGUACAUUUUGAUGACCGAUAACUGACAAGUUCUCAAGGUCGAUGCUUUUGAUAGUGUUUAUUUUAUUCCUACAUAUCAUGGCCUCUGUUUCUUGUGUGGCCUGGAUUUAUUUUCUCAUUGUAUCCUUUCAAUUACACAAUAGUAAAUCUUCCAAUCUCAGAACUUCAAAUGUAGCUCUUGAAUGCAAUAAUAGGGAUUUGAAACGUUUCCAUUCUUGAAUAU
Molecule: long non-coding RNA, 3465 nt
Organism: Lolium rigidum
Lineage: Eukaryota; Viridiplantae; Streptophyta; Magnoliopsida; Poales; Poaceae
Exons: 9
Source: RefSeq, a predicted model, not a curated record